RNAcentral lists this ribosomal RNA (620 nucleotides) under Placopsis illita. RNAcentral describes it as "eukaryotic LSU rRNA". The record is from RNAcentral. Lineage: Eukaryota; Fungi; Ascomycota; Lecanoromycetes; Trapeliales; Trapeliaceae.
UAGAGGAAGUAAAAGUCGUAACAAGGUUUCCGUAGGUGAACCUGCGGAAGGAUCAUUACCGAGCAAGGGUCCCCGUCCGGGGCCCGACCCUCCACCCAAUGCUUACCGACCUCUUUGUUGCUUUGACGGGCCGCGGGGCUCUCCCUUCGGGGAGAGCCCUCCGUCGGCCUCGGCGGACGAGCGCCCGUCAAAGACCCCAAUUAACCCUCGCGAUCCGUGUCGUCCGAGCCAUGAUAAAAAUCAAACAAAACUUUCAACAACGGAUCUCUUGGUUCUGGCAUCGAUGAAGAACGCAGCGAAAUGCGAUAAGUAAUGUGAAUUGCAGAAUUCAGUGAAUCAUCGAAUCUUUGAACGCACAUUGCGCCCCCUGGCAUUCCGGGGGGCAUGCCUGUCCGAGCGUCAUUACACCCCUCGAGCCUCGCUCGGUGAUGGGGGCCGUCCCGCGGGGCGCCCCCGAAAAGUAGCGCGCGAGGCCUUGAGAUCGUCCGGCGAAGUACAACCUUGCGUUCCGCCGCGACGUCUCGAGGCCCCUGCCGAACAAUCCGCUUGACGCACUUACNAUUGACCUCGGAUCAGGUAGGGAUACCCGCUGAACUUAAKCAUAUCAAUAAGCGGAGGAA